GCUGGCGGCGUGCCUAAUACAUGCAAGUCGAGCGAACAGACGAGGAGCUUGCUCCUCUGACGUUAGCGGCGGACGGGUGAGUAACACGUGGAUAACCUACCUAUAAGACUGGGAUAACUUCGGGAAACCGGAGCUAAUACCGGAUAAUAUAUUGAACCGCAUGGUUCAAUAGUGAAAGACGGUUUUGCUGUCACUUAUAGAUGGAUCCGCGCCGCAUUAGCUAGUUGGUAAGGUAACGGCUUACCAAGGCAACGAUGCGUAGCCGACCUGAGAGGGUGAUCGGCCACACUGGAACUGAGACACGGUCCAGACUCCUACGGGAGGCAGCAGUAGGGAAUCUUCCGCAAUGGGCGAAAGCCUGACGGAGCAACGCCGCGUGAGUGAUGAAGGUCUUCGGAUCGUAAAACUCUGUUAUUAGGGAAGAACAAAUGUGUAAGUAACUAUGCACGUCUGACGG
RNAcentral lists this ribosomal RNA (457 nucleotides) under Staphylococcus epidermidis. RNAcentral describes it as "bacterial SSU rRNA". It matches the Rfam family "Bacterial small subunit ribosomal RNA", at positions 35 to 475 of the family's 1533-position model. The record is from RNAcentral. Lineage: Bacteria; Bacillati; Bacillota; Bacilli; Caryophanales; Staphylococcaceae.